This is a non-coding RNA of Gymnothorax javanicus (giant moray), 74 nucleotides long. Lineage: Eukaryota; Metazoa; Chordata; Actinopteri; Anguilliformes; Muraenidae. The record is from the annotation of a GenBank genome assembly.
GGCGGCAUGGCCCAGGCGGUAGAGCGGGCGGCCUAGGAAUCAGAAGCUUCCUGGUUCAAUCCCCGGCUCCUCCU